Impatiens glandulifera is the source of this 987-nucleotide long non-coding RNA. RefSeq lists it as uncharacterized. The record is from RefSeq and is a predicted model, not a curated record. The transcript has 4 exons. NCBI's taxonomy places the organism in Eukaryota, Viridiplantae, Streptophyta, Magnoliopsida, Ericales, Balsaminaceae.
GCUCCGCUCCAAUGAGGCGAUCGAAGAAGAAGAUCAAUGGAGAAUAGCCUAAAGAGUUUGUCUUCUGAGUUCUAAAAUCCCUGAAUCAAAGCCACCAAUGUAUGUAGGAGAAGUUUGCAGUUCGGAAUCAAGCUGUGUCUCGAUCCUCCUAUUCGGUAAAACAAAACCAAAUGGAUGUUAUCCGGUGAUUUCCAAAAUAUACAUUUCUCCAUAAAUUAGCUCCUAGGGCUUCUAGAUCGAUUCUUCAAUGGUCGCUCCACCUGCAACAGCUUGUGCUGAUUACGAUUAUCUUAUAAUACUCCUCCUAAUUGGCGACUGCGUGAGGCUAAGGUGCAACAGAAUUUAUCCUGACGACCAUUCCUUAAAAUCGAGCUUGUAUGUAAUUGGCAGUCUCUUCCUUUUUUCAGGCUUUUGCAAAUUGAUUCAAUUAAAUGUUACCCCUUAAGCUUGUAUGAAGACAAAUUACACCGGCUCAUUGGUUUAACUAAAGGGAUGCUAUAUCAGCAUAUAAAGCUGAGGCUCUGUCAUUGUAAAAUCAGCUUAGACAAUUGCAGACUCAAUAUGAUAUGCUCACUGGACAUGCUUCAACGUUGAUUCAAGGAAGAAGGGCACGAGUUGCUGCAAGAUCUGUUCAAGGAUGAUAGACUAUCAGUCAGAAAUUUUGAGGUAUACAGUAUAUUUAAUAAUUUAGAAGUAUGUGCAUAAGUUGGUUUUUGAAAGGGUAAAAGGUAAUAUCACUAUAUUUAUUGCAGGAUGAAAAGAAAGUUAAGUAUGGUGAAAAAUGAUGAGAUAAGUUGUUUUAAACCGUUGAAAUAUUGUUGUUACUCAAAAAUAGAUCUAAUUGUAUAUUGAUUAUGGGUUGAUGAAUUUUGUAGCACCUGUACUUUGUUAUGGAUGAAAUGUGAUGUGUAGUUGGCAUAAUAUUCUGUUAGCAAACCUUGAUUACUGGCAUAGUUUAGUUAAAUAUAUAACAAUGGUUUGAUGUUA